AGCAGGAUAUAAGCUAGAAGCUGCCAUUGAACAGUUGGGUGUUGAUGUAGCUGGCAAAGUGGCCCUUGAUUCAGGUCUGUCAACUGGGGGAUUUACUGACUGCUUGCUUCAGCAUGGUGCAUCAUUUGUUUAUGGAGUUGAUGUAGGUUAUGGACAGGUGGNAUUCGCAGAGAUGACCGUGUUUGUGUGGUAGAAAGAACAAACUUAAGAUACCUCCCUGGACUCCCCCAAAAAGUUGAUUUGGUGACCCUAGAUCUCUCAUUCAUCUCUAUUCUCCUGGUCAUGCCUGCUGUAGUCAAUGUUAUGAAAGAAGAUGCAACAUUAAUUACCUUGGUUAAACCUCAAUUUGAAGCUCGCAG
RNAcentral lists this unclassified non-coding RNA (359 nucleotides) under Hevea brasiliensis (rubber tree). Lineage: Eukaryota; Viridiplantae; Streptophyta; Magnoliopsida; Malpighiales; Euphorbiaceae. The record is from RNAcentral.